Molecule: ribosomal RNA, 1469 nt
Filed under: metagenome
Description: bacterial SSU rRNA
Rfam family: Bacterial small subunit ribosomal RNA
Source: RNAcentral
AGAGUUUGAUCCUGGCUCAGGACGAACGCUGGCGGCGUGCCUAACACAUGCAAGUCGAACGGAGAUAAAGAUUUCGGUUUUUAUCUUAGUGGCGCACGGGUGAGUAACACGUGAAUAACCUGACCCAAAGAGGGGGAUAACACCUGGAAACAGGUGCUAAUACCGCAUAAGACCACAAUGUCGCAUGACGAAGGGGUCAAAGAAAAUCGCUUUGGGAGGGGUUCGCGUCCCAUUAGGUAGUAGGCGGGGUAACGGCCCACCUAGCCGACGAUGGGUAGCCGAGCUGAGAGGCUGAUCGGCCACACUGGAACUGAGACACGGUCCAGACUCCUACGGGAGGCGGCAGUGGGGGAUAUUGGGCAAUGGGCGCAAGCCUGACCCAGCAACGCCGCGUGAGGGAAGAAGGUUUUCGGAUUGUAAACCUCUGUCGCAGAAGACGAAGGAAGUGACGGUAUUCUGUGAGGAAGCCCCGGCUAACUACGUGCCAGCAGCCGCGGUAAUACGUAGGGGGCGAGCGUUGUCCGGAAUUACUGGGCGUAAAGGGAGCGUAGGCGGUCUGAUAAGUUGGAUGUGAAAUACCCGGGCUUAACUUGGGGGGUGCAUCCAAUACUGUUGGACUAGAGUACAGGAGAGGAAAGCGGAAUUCCUAGUGUAGCGGUGAAAUGCAUAGAUAUUAGGAGGAACAUCGGUGGCGAAGGCGGCUUUCUGGACUGCAACUGACGCUGAGGCUCGAAAGCGUGGGGAGCAAACAGGAUUAGAUACCCUGGUAGUCCACGCUGUAAACGAUGAUUACUAGGUGUGGGGGGACUGACCCCUUCCGUGCCGCAGUUAACACAAUAAGUAAUCCACCAGGGGAGUACGGCCGCAAGGUUGAAACUCAAAGGAAUUGACGGGGGCCCGCACAAGCAGUGGAGUAUGUGGUUUAAUUCGAAGCAACGCGAAGAACCUUACCAGGUCUUGACAUCGAGUGCAUAACUAAGAGAUUAGUGAAAUCCCUUCGGGGACACUUAGACAGGUGGUGCAUGGUUGUCGUCAGCUCGUGUCGUGAGAUGUUGGGUUAAGUCCCGCAACGAGCGCAACCCUUACCUUUAGUUGCUACGCAAGAGCACUCUAAAGGGACUGCCGUUGACAAAACGGAGGAAGGUGGGGAUGACGUCAAAUCAUCAUGCCCCUUAUGACCUGGGCUACACACGUACUACAAUGGCAAUCAACAAAGAGAAGCAAGACAGUGAUGUGGAGCAAAUCUCAAAAAAUUGUCCCAGUUCAGAUUGUAGGCUGCAACUCGCCUACAUGAAGUCGGAAUUGCUAGUAAUCGCGGAUCAGAAUGCCGCGGUGAAUACGUUCCCGGGCCUUGUACACACCGCCCGUCACACCAUGGGAGUCGGUAACACCCGAAGUCGGUAGUCUAACAGCAAUGAGGACGCCGCCGAAGGUGGGAUUGAUGACUGGGGUGAAGUCGUAACAAGGUA